RNAcentral lists this ribosomal RNA (207 nucleotides) under uncultured bacterium. RNAcentral's name for it is "partial 16S ribosomal RNA". It matches the Rfam family "Bacterial small subunit ribosomal RNA", at positions 568 to 774 of the family's 1533-position model. The record is from RNAcentral.
GGUGUAGGCGGUAUUGUUAGUCAUAGGUGAAAAUUACAGGCUUAACUUGUAACCUGCCUGUGAUACUGCAGUACUAGAGGACGGGAGAGGAGAGCGGAACUACCGGUGUAGCGGUGGAAUGCACAGAUAUCGGUAGGAACACCAGAGGCGAAGGCGGCUCUCUAGAACGUUCCUGACGCUGAGGCCCGAAAGCUGGGGGAGCAAACA